This 465-nucleotide ribosomal RNA is filed under the name uncultured bacterium. RNAcentral's name for it is "partial 16S ribosomal RNA". It matches the Rfam family "Bacterial small subunit ribosomal RNA", at positions 28 to 507 of the family's 1533-position model. The record is from RNAcentral.
GACGAACGCUGGCGGCGUGCUUAACACAUGCAAGUCGAACGGAAAGGCCCUGCUUGCAGGGUACUCGAGUGGCGAACGGGUGAGUAACACGUGGGUGAUCUGCCCUGCACUUCGGGAUAAGCCUGGGAAACUGGGUCUAAUACCGGAUAGGAGCCAUUUUUAGUGUGAUGGUUGGAAAGUUUUUUCGGCGUAGGAUGAGCUCGCGGCCUAUCAGCUUGUUGGUGGGGUAAUGGCCUACCAAGGCGGCGACGGGUAGCCGGCCUGAGAGGGUGGACGGCCACAUUGGGACUGAGAUACGGCCCAGACUCCUACGGGAGGCAGCAGUGGGGAAUAUUGCACAAUGGGCGCAAGCCUGAUGCAGCGACGCCGCGUGGGGGAUGACGGCCUUCGGGUUGUAAACUCCUUUCGCUAGGGACGAAGCUUUUAGUGACGGUACCUAGAUAAGAAGCACCGGCUAACUACGUG